CCUACGGGAGGCAGCAGUGGGGAAUAUUGGACAAUGGGCGAAAGCCUGAUCCAGCAAUUCCGCGUGUGUGAAGAAGGCCUUCGGGUUGUAAAGCACUUUAGUGGGGGAAGAAACAGCUUGGCCACACCAAGCCUUGACGGUACCCCAAGAAUAAGCACCGGCUAACUCUGUGCCAGCAGCCGCGGUAAUACAGAGGGUGCAAGCGUUAAUCGGAUUUACUGGGCGUAAAGGGUGCGUAGGCGGCUAUUUAAGUCGGAUGUGAAAGCCCGGGGCUCAACCUCGGAAUUGCAUUCGAUACUGAGUGGCUAGAGUUCGGUAGAGGGCGGCGGAAUUUCCGGUGUAGCGGUGAAAUGCGUAGAUAUCGGAAGGAACAUCAAUGGCGAAGGCAGCCGCCUGGGCCUGGACUGACACUGAGGCACGAAAGCGUGGGUAGCAAACAGGAUUAGAUACCCUGGUAGUCCACGCCGUAAACGAUGAGAACUUGACGUUGGUUCGUUUUACGAAUCGGUGUCGCNGCUACGUAGAUAAGUUCGUCCGUCCGUCGGGUAGGGUACGGGCCGGCCGACGGUUAGGUAACGUACGUAAAGGUUAAAGUUAGUACGGCGUUGAGACGUUGCCGACGGACGACGACGAGGGGAGGAGG
RNAcentral lists this ribosomal RNA (643 nucleotides) under uncultured bacterium. RNAcentral's name for it is "bacterial SSU rRNA". The stretch from base 1 to 539 matches the Rfam family "Bacterial small subunit ribosomal RNA", at positions 338 to 873 of the family's 1533-position model. The record is from RNAcentral.